Molecule: ribosomal RNA, 1454 nt
Filed under: metagenome
Description: bacterial LSU rRNA
Rfam family: Bacterial large subunit ribosomal RNA
Source: RNAcentral
GUAUGACAGAACUGUGGGGACACGUAAGGAAAGCGGAAGCCGGGAAUGGAAAGCCCGGUGCAAGCGGGGUACCAGUCACUUUGGCAAAUCCGGGUGGCAAUGGGAAGCCGUGAUGCGGAGCGAAAUAAAGUAGCGAAGUCCGUGAGCCAUGCGUCAAGAAAAGCCGCUAUCGUUUAUACCGUACCCGUACCGUAAACCGACACAGGUGGAUGAGGAGAGAAUCCUAAGGCCGGCGGAAGAAGCAUUGUCAAGGAACUCGGCAAAAUGGCCCCGUAACUUAGGGAUAAGGGGUGCCUGGGAAACCAGGCCGCAGAGAAUAGGCUCAAGCAACUGUUUAGCAAAAACACAGGUCUAUGCGAAACCGAAAGGUGAGGUAUAUGGGCUGACGCCUGCCCGGUGCUGGAAGGUUAAGAGGAGAGUUUAGCGGUAACGCGAAGCUUUGAAUUUAAGCCCCAGUAAACGGCGGCCGUAACGAUAACGGUCCUAAGGUAGCGAAAUUCCUUGUCGGGUAAGUUCCGACCCGCACGAAAGGCGUAAUGAUUUGAGCGCUGUCUCGACAAUGCAUCCGGUGAAAUUGAAGUACCAGUGAAGAUGCUGGUUACCUGCGCCAGGACGGAAAGACCCCAUGGAGCUUUACUCCAGUCUGGUACUGGGACUCGGUAUUGCAUGUACAGGAUAGGUGGGAGGCUAGGAGAUGGUAACGCCAGUUGCCAUGGAGCCGCUGUUGGGAUACCACCCUUGCAGUAUUGGGUUUCUAACCAGCCGCCGUGACCCGGCGGUGGGACAAUGCCAGACGGGGAGUUUGACUGGGGCGGUCGCCUCCGAAAGGGUAUCGGAGGCGCCCAAAGGUUCCCUCAGAAUGGACGGAAACCAUUCGAAGAGUGCAAAGGCAGAAGGGAGCUUGACUGCGACACCGACGGGUGGAGCAGGUACGAAAGUAGGGCUUAGUGAUCCGGUGGUAUUAAGUGGGAAUGCCAUCGCUCAACGGAUAAAAGCUACCCUGGGAUAACAGGCUUAUCACUCCCAAGAGUUCACAUCGACGGAGUGGUUUGGCACCUCGAUGUCGGCUCAUCGCAUCCUGGGGCUGUAGUAGGUCCCAAGGGUUGGGCUGUUCGCCCAUUAAAGCGGUACGCGAGCUGGGUUCAGAACGUCGUGAGACAGUUCGGUCCCUAUCCGGCGUGGGCGUAGGAUAUCUGAGAGGAGCUGUCCUUAGUACGAGAGGACCGGGAUGGACGGGCCGCUGGUGCAUCGGUUAGACUGCCAAGUCUACGGCCGAGUAGCCAAGCCCGGAAGGGAUAAACGCUGAAGGCAUCUAAGCGUGAAGCCCCCCUUAAGAUGAGAUACCCCAUUCGAAAGAAGUAAACCCCCUUGAAGACGACGAGGUAGAUAGGGCAGAGGUGGAAGUGCAGCAAUGCAUGGAGCUGACUGUUACUAAUCGGGUGAGGGCUUGACCU